AUUAAACGCUGGCGGCAUGCCUUACACAUGCAAGUCGAACGGCAGCACGGGGGCAACCCUGGUGGCGAGUGGCGGACGGGUGAGUAAAGCAUCGGAACGUAUCCUGGAGUGGGGGAGUAACGUAGCGAAAGUUACGCUAAUACCGCAUAUUCUGUGAGCAGGAAAGCAGGGGAUCGCAAGACCUUGCGCUCUGGGAGCGGCCGAUGUCGGAUUAGCUAGUUGGUGGGGUAAAGGCCUACCAAGGCGACGAUCCGUAGCGGGUCUGAGAGGAUGAUCCGCCACACUGGGACUGAGACACGGCCCAGACUCCUACGGGAGGCAGCAGUGGGGAAUAUUGGACAAUGGGGGAAACCCGUAGAUCCACGCCACUUCCGCCGUGAGUGAAGAAGG
RNAcentral lists this ribosomal RNA (390 nucleotides) under uncultured bacterium. Its description in RNAcentral is "bacterial SSU rRNA". It matches the Rfam family "Bacterial small subunit ribosomal RNA", at positions 29 to 414 of the family's 1533-position model. The record is from RNAcentral.